AAUAAGUGCAGUUUUGCACUAUUUACGUUCAACGUUUGACUGUUCGUUUUAUUUGAAAUUUUUUUAUGAUUAGUAUUUUUAUUGCUAUUAGAUGAUAAAACAUGAAUAGUACUUUAUGUGUGACUAAAUAUUUUCAAAUUUUUCACAAUUUUUUAAAUAAGACGGACGGUCAAACGUUGGGCACAGAUAUUCACGGCUGCACUUAUU
This 207-nucleotide microRNA precursor is filed under the name Oryza sativa Japonica Group (Japanese rice). RNAcentral describes it as "MIR812 microRNA precursor family". It matches the Rfam family "MIR812 microRNA precursor family". The record is from Rfam by way of RNAcentral. Lineage: Eukaryota; Viridiplantae; Streptophyta; Magnoliopsida; Poales; Poaceae.